RNAcentral lists this non-coding RNA (224 nucleotides) under Virgibacillus sp. RNAcentral describes it as "T-box sequence". It matches the Rfam family "T-box leader". Rfam says of the family: Uncharged tRNA acts as the effector for transcription antitermination of genes in the T-box leader family. T-boxes are found upstream of many aminoacyl-tRNA synthetase genes and some amino acid biosynthetic genes usually in Gram-positive bacteria. The record is from RNAcentral. Lineage: Bacteria; Bacillati; Bacillota; Bacilli; Caryophanales; Bacillaceae.
UAUUUUGCAAUGAAGGAAUUAGAGUAGUUAUGCAGAUCACUGUUUAAAGAGACCUGACGGUUGGUGUGAGUCAGGACAAAUUUGCAAGCGAAUUACAAUCUGGAGCAGACUUUCCUUUUAUCUAUAUACAGACAACUGGAAAGCGGUGGAAACAUCGUUAACAAUCCUAAGUGGCAAAUUUAUUUGCAACAAGGGUGGUACCGCGUGUUAAACUCGUCCCUUUU